ACGAACGCUGGCGGCGUGCUUAACACAUGCGAGUCGUACGGUAAGGCCCUUUCGGGGGUACACGAGUGGCGAACGGGUGAGUAACACGUGAGUAACCUGCCCACAACUUUGGGAUAACGCUAGGAAACUGGUGCUAAUACUGGAUAUGUGCUCCUGCUGCAUGGUGGGGGUUGGAAAGCUCCGGCGGUUGUGGAUGGACUCGCGGCCUAUCAGCUUGUUGGUGGGGUAGUGGCCUACCAAGGCGGCGACGGGUAGCCGGCCUGAGAGGGUGACCGGCCACAUUGGGACUGAGAUACGGCCCAGACUCCUACGGGAGGCAGCAGUGGGGAAUAUUGCACAAUGGGCGCAAGCCUGAUGCAGCAACGCCGCGUGCGGGAUGACGGCCUUCGGGUUGUAAACCGCUUUCAGCAGGGACGAAGCUUUUUGUGACGGUACCUGCAGAAGAAGCACCGGCUAACUACGUG
Molecule: ribosomal RNA, 464 nt
Filed under: uncultured bacterium
Lineage: Bacteria
Description: partial 16S ribosomal RNA
Rfam family: Bacterial small subunit ribosomal RNA
Source: RNAcentral